AUAGGAUGAAACUGGCCAAAGCUCUGUC
Molecule: non-coding RNA, 28 nt
Filed under: Cricetulus griseus (Chinese hamster)
Lineage: Eukaryota; Metazoa; Chordata; Mammalia; Rodentia; Cricetidae
Source: RNAcentral